AUGCAAGUCGAAGAAGGAUUGGCCCGUGCUGCCGGCUGGCGUCAAGCGGAUCAGGAGCUGAUCGAGCACCUUGAGGCCAAAGUGAGUGCUGACAGCGCGAGAUUUCAGUCUCUCAUCGAUUUGUUCAUACCAACCAUCGACAGCGAGCACGGCAUAUGUUACACCCAACCUGAGAAACUUCUAGCAAAAAAGGUUCUGGUGCUGCACACCAACAACAACUUUGACCAGCAGAGGACCAACUGGGUGAUGCACAAGUACCACCUCGGGGACCUGGAGAAAGAGAAGGAGCGGGAGCUGGUCCUCUGCAAGAUUUUCUACCAGACGAACACUAGGGCCAGGAGUAAAAAGAUUAUAAGUUAG
This 360-nucleotide ribosomal RNA is filed under the name Triticum aestivum (bread wheat). Its description in RNAcentral is "partial small subunit ribosomal RNA". The record is from RNAcentral. Lineage: Eukaryota; Viridiplantae; Streptophyta; Magnoliopsida; Poales; Poaceae.